Molecule: ribosomal RNA, 341 nt
Filed under: uncultured Chloroflexota bacterium
Lineage: Bacteria; Bacillati; Chloroflexota
Description: bacterial SSU rRNA
Rfam family: Bacterial small subunit ribosomal RNA
Source: RNAcentral
AACGAACGCUAGCGGCGUGCUUAACACAUGCAAGUCGAACGAGAAAUCUCGGGCAACUGAGAGAGUAAAGUGGCGCACGGGUGAGUAGCGCGUGGGUAAUCUGCCUUGGAGGCGGGAAUAACACCUCGAAAGGGGUGCUAAUACCCGAUAAUAUCCAUGAGACUCCGGUCUUGUGGAUCAAAGGUGGUUGAGGCGUGCAAGCUAUUGCUCCAAGAUGAGCCCGCGUACCAUUAGCUAGUUGGUGAGGUAAUGGCUCACCAAGGCUAUGAUGGUUAGCUGGUCUGAGAGGAUGGCCAGCCACACUGGAACUGAGAUACGGUCCAGACUCCUACGGGAGGCUG